GCCAGCGUGGCCUAGUGGUUAGAGCGUUGGACUAUGCCUCUGGAGAUCAGGAUUCGAUUCCCAGCUUGGACA
Phrynosoma platyrhinos (Desert horned lizard) is the source of this 72-nucleotide non-coding RNA. The record is from the annotation of a GenBank genome assembly. NCBI's taxonomy places the organism in Eukaryota, Metazoa, Chordata, Lepidosauria, Squamata, Phrynosomatidae.